Molecule: ribosomal RNA, 253 nt
Filed under: uncultured bacterium
Lineage: Bacteria
Description: partial 16S ribosomal RNA
Rfam family: Bacterial small subunit ribosomal RNA
Source: RNAcentral
GACAGAGGGGGCAAGCGUUGCUCGGAAUCACUGGGCGUAAAGGGCGCGUAGGCGGGCUGGCAAGUCAGUCGUGAAAUCUCUCGGCUCAACCGAGAAACGUCGGCUGAUACUGCCGUUCUUGAGGGAUGCAGAGGAGACUGGAAUUCCCGGUGUAGCGGUGAAAUGUGUAGAGAUCGGGAGGAACACCGGUGGCGAAGGCGGGUCUCUGGGCAUUUCCUGACGCUGAGGCGCGAAAGCGUGGGGAGCAAACGGG